RNAcentral lists this ribosomal RNA (497 nucleotides) under uncultured bacterium. RNAcentral's name for it is "partial 16S ribosomal RNA". It matches the Rfam family "Bacterial small subunit ribosomal RNA", at positions 28 to 507 of the family's 1533-position model. The record is from RNAcentral.
GAUGAACGCUGGCGGCGUGCCUAAUACAUGCAAGUCGAGCGAACAGAUGAGGAGCUUGCUCCUCUGACGUUAGCGGCGGACGGGUGAGUAACACGUGGAUAACCUACCUAUAAAACUUGGAUCACUUCGGGAAACCGGAGCUAAUACCGGAUAAUAUAUUGAACCACAUGGUUCAAUAGUGAAAGACGGUUUUGCUGUCACUUCUAGAUGGAUCCGCGCCGCAUUAGCUAGUUGGUAAGGUAACGACUUACCAAGGCAACGAUGCGUAGCCGACCUGAGAGGGGGAUAGGCCACACUGGAACUGAAACACGGUCCAGACUCCUACGGGAGGCAGCAGUAGGGAAUCUUCCGCAAAGGGCGAAAGCAUGACGGAGCAACGCCGCGUGAGUGAUGAAGGUCUUCGGAUCGUAAAACUCUGUUAUUAGGGAAGAACAAAUGUGUAAGUAACUAUGCACGGCUUGACGGUACCUAAUCAGAAAGCCACGGCUAACUACGUG